This 203-nucleotide ribosomal RNA is filed under the name uncultured Aminicenantes bacterium. RNAcentral's name for it is "partial 16S ribosomal RNA". It matches the Rfam family "Bacterial small subunit ribosomal RNA", at positions 1180 to 1382 of the family's 1533-position model. The record is from RNAcentral. Lineage: Bacteria; Candidatus Aminicenantota.
UGACGUCAAGUCAGCAUGGCCUUUAUGUCCAGGGCUACACACGUGCUACAAUGGGCGAUACAGAGGGAAGCAAGGCCGCAAGGUAGAGCUAAUCCCUAAAGUCGUCCUCAGUUCGGAUUGCAGGCUGCAACUCGCCUGCAUGAAGUCGGAAUCGCUAGUAAUCGCGGAUCAGCUACGCCGCGGUGAAUACGUUCUCGGGCCUU